AGUGAACGCUGGCGUAGGCCUAACCCAUGCAAGUCGAACGGCAGCACAGUAAGAGCUUGCUCUUACGGGUGGCGAGUGGCGGACGGGUGAGGAAUACAUCGGAAUCUACUUUUUCGUGGGGGAUAACGUAGGGAAACUUACGCUAUUACCGCAUACGACCUACGGGUGAAAGCAGGGGAUCUUCGGACCUUGCGCGAUUGAAUGAGCCGAUGUCGGAUUAGCUAGUUGGCGGGGUAAAGGCCCACCAAGGCGACGAUCCGUAGCUGGUCUGAGAGGAUGAUCAGCCACACUGGAACUGAGACACGGUCCAGACUCCUACGGGAGGCAGCAGUGGGGAAUAUUGGACAAUGGGCGCAAGCCUGAUCCAGCCAUACCGCGUGGGUGAAGAAGGCCUUCGGGUUGUAAAGCCCUUUUGUUGGGAAAGAAAAGCAGCAGGUUAAUACCCCGCUGUUCUGACGGUACCCAAAGAAUAAGCACCGGCUAACUUCGUG
RNAcentral lists this ribosomal RNA (491 nucleotides) under uncultured bacterium. Its description in RNAcentral is "partial 16S ribosomal RNA". It matches the Rfam family "Bacterial small subunit ribosomal RNA", at positions 29 to 507 of the family's 1533-position model. The record is from RNAcentral.